GCCGGGCGCGGUGGCGCGCGCCUGUAGUCCCAGCUACUCGGGAGGCUGAGGCUGGAGGAUCGCUUGAGCUCAGGAGUUCUGGGCUGCAGUGCGCUAUGCCGAUCGGGUGUCCGCACUAAGUUCGGCAUCAAUAUGGUGACCUCCCGGGAGCGGGGGACCACCAGGUUGCCUAAGGAGGGGUGAACCGGCCCAGGUCGGAAACGGAGCAGGUCAAAACUCCCGUGCUGAUCAGUAGUGGGAUCGCGCCUGUGAAUAGUCACUGUACUCCAGCCUGGGCAACAUAGCGAGACCCCGUCUCUU
This 300-nucleotide signal recognition particle RNA is filed under the name Cervus hanglu yarkandensis (Yarkand deer). RNAcentral describes it as "Metazoan signal recognition particle RNA (ENSCHYG00000022626.1)". It matches the Rfam family "Metazoan signal recognition particle RNA". From Rfam's summary of the family: The signal recognition particle (SRP) is a universally conserved ribonucleoprotein. Lineage: Eukaryota; Metazoa; Chordata; Mammalia; Artiodactyla; Cervidae. The record is from Rfam by way of RNAcentral.